This 297-nucleotide ribosomal RNA is filed under the name uncultured bacterium. RNAcentral's name for it is "partial 16S ribosomal RNA". It matches the Rfam family "Bacterial small subunit ribosomal RNA", at positions 775 to 1067 of the family's 1533-position model. The record is from RNAcentral.
GGAUUAGAUACCCUGGUAGUCCACGCCGUAAACGAUGUGUGCUAGUUGUUGGGACUCUUAGAGUUUCAGUGACGCAGAGAAAUCAUUAAGCACACCGCCUGGGGAGUACGGCCGCAAGGUUAAAACUCAAAGGAAUUGACGGGGACCCGCACAAGCGGUGGAGCAUGUUGUUUAAUUCGAAGCAACGCGAAGAACCUUACCCACUCUUGACAUCCUCCUUGGGACUUUCAGAGAUGAUUGUCUUCGGUUCGGCCGGGGGAGUGACAGGUGCUGCAUGGCUGUCGUCAGCUCGUGCCG